CGCGUAGGCGGCCAGCACAAGUCAGUUGUGAAAUCUCCGAGCUUAACUCGGAAAGGUCAACUGAUACUGUGCGGCUAGAGUGCGGAAGGGGCAACUGGAAUUCUUGGUGUAGCGGUGAAAUGCGUAGAUAUCAAGAGGAACACCUGCGGCGAAGGCGGGUUGCUGGGCCGACACUGACGCUGAGGCGCGAAAGCUAGGGGAGCGAACG
RNAcentral lists this ribosomal RNA (208 nucleotides) under uncultured bacterium. RNAcentral describes it as "partial 16S ribosomal RNA". It matches the Rfam family "Bacterial small subunit ribosomal RNA", at positions 568 to 774 of the family's 1533-position model. The record is from RNAcentral.